UACGAAGGGGGCUAGCGUUGCUCGGAAUCACUGGGCGUAAAGGGUGCGUAGGCGGGUCUUUAAGUCAGGGGUGAAAUCCUGGAGCUCAACUCCAGAACUGCCUUUGAUACUGAGGAUCUUGAGUUCGGGAGAGGUGAGUGGAACUGCGAGUGUAGAGGUGAAAUUCGUAGAUAUUCGCAAGAACACCAGUGGCGAAGGCGGCUCACUGGCCCGAUACUGACGCUGAGGCACGAAAGCGUUGGGAGCAAACAGG
Molecule: ribosomal RNA, 253 nt
Filed under: uncultured bacterium
Lineage: Bacteria
Description: partial 16S ribosomal RNA
Rfam family: Bacterial small subunit ribosomal RNA
Source: RNAcentral